This 421-nucleotide ribosomal RNA is filed under the name uncultured bacterium. Its description in RNAcentral is "bacterial SSU rRNA". It matches the Rfam family "Bacterial small subunit ribosomal RNA", at positions 356 to 774 of the family's 1533-position model. The record is from RNAcentral.
GAGGAAUAUUGGGCAAUGCCCGAAAGGGUGACCCAGCAACGCCGCGUGGAGGAUGAAGGUCGUAAGAUUGUAAACUCCUGUUAGAGGGGAAGAAUAACUAAGUUUGGAGCUUAGUAUGACUGUACCCUCAGAGAAAGCCCCGGCUAACUACGUGCCAGCAGCCGCGGUAAUACGUAGGGGGCAAGCGUUGUCCGGAUUUACUGGGUGUAAAGUGCGCGCAGGCGGAAUGGAAAGUCAGUGGUGAAAUCCUACAGCUUAACUGUAGAACUGCCUUUGAUACUUUCAUUCUUGAGUUCGGGAGAGAGAGACGGAAUUCCAGGUGUAGUGGUGAAAUACGUAGAUAUCUGGAAGAACACCAGUUGCGAAGGCGGUCUCUUGGUCCGAUACUGACGCUGAGGCGCGAAAGCGUGGGGAGCAAACA